AGAACGAACGCUGGCGGCAGGCUUAACACAUGCAAGUCGAACGCGUGUAGCAAUACACGAGUGGCGCACGGGUGAGUAACGCGUGGAUAUCUGCCUUUUGGUUCGGAAUAACCCCGGGAAACUGGGGCUAAAUACCGGAUGGUUCCUUCGGGAUAAAGAUUUAUCGCCAAAAAGAUGAGUCCGCGUCCGAUUAGCUAGUUGGUGAGGUAAUGGCUCACCAAGGCGACGAUCGGUAGCUGGUCUGAGAGGACGAUCAGCCACACUGGGACUGAGACACGGCCCAGACUCCUACGGGAGGCAGCAGUGGGGAAUAUUGGACAAUGGGGGCAACCCUGAUCCAGCCAUGCCGCGUGAGUGAUGAAGGCCUUCGGGUUGUAAAGCUCGUUUUGGCGGGACGAUGAUGACGGUACCCGCAGAAUAAGCCCCGGCUAACUUCGUGCCAGCAGCCGC
RNAcentral lists this ribosomal RNA (450 nucleotides) under uncultured bacterium. RNAcentral describes it as "SSU rRNA". It matches the Rfam family "Bacterial small subunit ribosomal RNA", at positions 26 to 518 of the family's 1533-position model. The record is from RNAcentral.